AUUGAACGCUGGCGGCAGGCCUAACACAUGCAAGUCGAGCGGUAGAGAGGUGCUUGCAUCUCUUGAGAGCGGCGGACGGGUGAGUAAUGCCUAGGAAUCGUGCCCUAGUGGUGGGGGAUAACGUUCGGAAACGGACGCUAAUACCGCAUACGUCCUACGGGAGAAAGCGGGGGAUCUUCGGACCUCGCGCCAUUAGAUGAGCCUAGGUCGGAUUAGCUAGUUGGUGAGGUAAUGGCUCACCAAGGCGACGAUCCGUAACUGGUCUGAGAGGAUGAUCAGUCACACUGGAACUGAGACACGGUCCAGACUCCUAC
This 314-nucleotide ribosomal RNA is filed under the name uncultured bacterium. Its description in RNAcentral is "bacterial SSU rRNA". It matches the Rfam family "Bacterial small subunit ribosomal RNA", at positions 30 to 342 of the family's 1533-position model. The record is from RNAcentral.